GGCACGCGUCUCAUAAAGCACGUCCCGCAAGGCGCCUUGCGAUCUAGGCGCGAUCUAGUUGCGCGCUACGAGUCUACGCGCGCGUAGACUGAUGACUGGACCGUAGCGGAACCGGGAGCUGAUCGUGGAUUCUAUCUAUAGCCAGCUGGGCGAACCUUAAAUAGCCGCGGGAAUUUGCAACGCUCUCGAAUGCCGUAACCUAUACCAGCACACGGCACUAGCAAGAAUCUCGCGAGUUGAUCGCGUUUAUUGGUGGUAGUGGCGAUGACUACUGACCUGCAUGGGAGCCUAGGAGGUUCCUGCAUCGCUGUCCUGGAAGAUGGUCUGGCAAUGCGGGCUUGACGUUCCGGUAGUAGCGAAUCACUUUGAUAGUAUUGACAUCCACAACGAACCUCACGUCCGAGGCUGGACGUUGAUGAUGCUCGCGAGGUGCGUCCUCGUUGUUGCUCUCCUUGCAUCCCCACCUCGAGAGAGGCGUCGACGUCAACGCCGACGCCGAAAACCAAUGAACCUACUCCAGUCUUUUCCUUCUCUCUCUCCCUUUUUACUUUGUCGAAUAUCGGCAAAGACGAAAGAGUCGUAAUCUAUUCGCGUAGAGACACGACACUUCGUGUUUUUUUGUUUUUGCGAUCCUAAACCUUUCCCCUCCUUUCUCCUCUCUUGCAGCCUCCCGUGAAUUUCGAGGUCGCUCUUUCGAGGGCGUGCUUACGACAUCACCGCCAUCACAUUCACAAGCAUCACCACCCACCACCGCUACGAUCUUCACCCUCUUCUCUGGAAGAGAGGAGAAAA
This is a long non-coding RNA of Vespa velutina, 792 nucleotides long. RefSeq lists it as uncharacterized. The record is from RefSeq and is a predicted model, not a curated record. The transcript has 2 exons. Lineage: Eukaryota; Metazoa; Arthropoda; Insecta; Hymenoptera; Vespidae.